This 436-nucleotide ribosomal RNA is filed under the name uncultured Oscillospiraceae bacterium. Its description in RNAcentral is "bacterial SSU rRNA". It matches the Rfam family "Bacterial small subunit ribosomal RNA", at positions 341 to 792 of the family's 1533-position model. Lineage: Bacteria; Bacillati; Bacillota; Clostridia; Eubacteriales; Oscillospiraceae. The record is from RNAcentral.
ACGGGAGGCAGCAGUGGGGAAUAUUGGGCAAUGGGCGCAAGCCUGACCCUGCAACGCCGCGUGAAGGAAGAAGGCUUUCGGGUUGUAAACUUCUUUUAAGAGGGAAGAGCAGAAGACGGUACCUCUAGAAUAAGCCACGGCUAACUACGUGCCAGCAGCCGCGGUAAUACGUAGGUGGCAAGCGUUGUCCGGAUUUACUGGGUGUAAAGGGCGUGCAGCCGGGUCUGCAAGUCAGAUGUGAAAUCCAUGGGCUCAACCCAUGAACUGCAUUUGAAACUGUAGAUCUUGAGUGUCGGAGGGGCAAUCGGAAUUCCUAGUGUAGCGGUGAAAUGCGUAGAUAUUAGGAGGAACACCAGUGGCGAAGGCGGAUUGCUGGACGAUAACUGACGGUGAGGCGCGAAAGUGUGGGGAGCAAACAGGAUUAGAUACCCUGGUA